Long non-coding RNA from Hibiscus syriacus, 1243 nucleotides. RefSeq lists it as uncharacterized. The transcript is spliced from 4 exons. The record is from RefSeq and is a predicted model, not a curated record. Lineage: Eukaryota; Viridiplantae; Streptophyta; Magnoliopsida; Malvales; Malvaceae.
UCUCCUAACUCAUCUCGUCUCCACAUACAUGCGGCGGCCGACUCUCCAAGGACCCAUGGCAUGCGUCGCCUUGGCCACCAUAUAUUGGUGUCGUCCCACUCUAGCCGACGCCCUGCAAGGCACGGGAAGCUCAUCCAAUGCAAACCCCAAAUGAUGCAAGGUUCCUCCACUCCCUCUCCUCGACCGAUAAGGCCAUACCUUUCCCACGACGCCGCCGUGGUUGACCCCUAAAAUUGACCACCAUCCACGGUGACCAAAACAGCCAAAAUUGAACCAAAACCCAGCCAAAAUAGUCCCCCCGACGGCCCGUAGCCACCCUAAACGACAACUCUAAAGGAGGCUAAAACACCUAAACCAAACGGUCGAAAGACACAAACCCAUGGCCAACGACCACGAGUGGUGGCGCCACGACCCAAACCGACCCUCAAUCUCCCUCCAUGAUGACACCUCUAGCCUCGACAAAGCACGGAAGCCGUGAGAUGAGUACUAAAUCUCUACCUUUUUAUUUUAUUUUUUUAGGUUAAAGAUACAUGCAUGCAAAAAAUGAAAAAGGAAGAGACAAAUGCUUGAUACUAUUAAGUUUGGAACUUUUCGGUUUCCAUUCUUUUUUUGAUUCCCAAUAUUGAUGUUUUACAUUGUUUAAUUUUCGGGUUAUAUAUACCUAUUACAUUGUCAAGAUAAAAAAUUGUUUUGUUUGCAUAUUUGGUUGGUGCAGUUGGUGGUGGCGUGACUUGCAAGAGAUGGUGGCAGCGUGAGCCCGGGAUGGUGCUGCCUUGCUGUUGCAGCAGGGCAUAGUGUGGCAGGGUAUGAUGACGGUGGCAGGCAUGGAGUGUUGGACAGCUGCAGUGGGUGGAAAACCCACUGGGUUUUGGACUCCAACCGGUUGGCUUCGUUCCUGUUGGGCCCGAACCGUUUGGAACCCAUGACGUUGUUGUUCUAAAACAAAACAAGGAUGAUUUAGGCUCUCCUUCUGAAUUUAUUUCAUAUUGGAAAAUGAGGUGACAUAUCGUAGGAUAAAAGAUGCCUUGAAAACAUUGAGUAAAGGUGUGCUGAAGGGUCCUGCUACAGAUCUAGCUCCUGUAUUGUUCGGAGACAGACAGCCAACAGUAUCAAAGAAGGGCACUGUCACAUUCACAAGUAAUGGAGCUGUGUGAUUUAACAAGUAGGUUGCAUCCAAGAAGAAAAUCAGCUGAUGAAGCUGGAGUAGUUUUACAAGCAAAAAUGAAAGUCAUCUCCUAAGUGA